This 400-nucleotide long non-coding RNA is filed under the name Homo sapiens (human). RNAcentral describes it as "HSALNT0088907". Lineage: Eukaryota; Metazoa; Chordata; Mammalia; Primates; Hominidae. The record is from RNAcentral.
GGCCUGGCUCCCACAGUACUCCAGUUUCCAAAAGGAAUCACACAUUCCCUUCCUGUGCAGAUAAAAGAACAAUUGGACCAUGAGAGAACUUACUGGAAAGUAAUGCAGGAUCACCAGGAAGGAACAGGAAUUCACUCCUCGGUCACAGUCUUCAUAGUCUGAUUGGGAGUCAAUCAGGUCUAAAAAGGUUUCUCCUGUCUACUUAUGUAUGAAUGACAUCAAACCAAUGAAGCCACUGUGAGAAAUCUGCCACUGAUACAUAAUUAUUUACUUAUAUUACCCAUAAGGAGAACAUUAUCUGUUUCUUAUCCAUUUAAUUAAGAAGAAAGACUACAGAAGAUAUUUGUUUAUUUCUCCUUUACAAAAUGUUUUCUAUCUGGCCAUGGCUAUAAGACAAAUA